RNAcentral lists this ribosomal RNA (497 nucleotides) under uncultured bacterium. Its description in RNAcentral is "partial 16S ribosomal RNA". It matches the Rfam family "Bacterial small subunit ribosomal RNA", at positions 28 to 507 of the family's 1533-position model. The record is from RNAcentral.
GAUGAACGCUGGCGGCGUGCCUAAUACAUGCAAGUCGAGCGAACAAACGAGGAGCUUGCUCCUCUGACGUUAGCGGCGGACGGGUGAGUAACACGUGGAUAACCUACCUAUAAGACUGGGAUAACUUCGGGAAACCGGAGCUAAUACCGGAUAAUAUAUUGAACCGCAUGGUUCAAUAGUGAAAGACGGUUUUGCUGUCACUUAUAGAUGGAUCCGCGCCGCAUUAGCUAGUUGGUAAGGUAACGGCUUACCAAGGCAACGAUGCGUAGCCGACCUGAGAGGGUGAUCGGCCACACUGGAACUGAGACACGGUCCAGACUCCUACGGGAGGCAGCAGUAGGGAAUCUUCCGCAAAGGGCGAAAGCUUGACGGAGCAACGCCGCGUGAGUGAUGAAGGUCUUCGGAUCGUAAAACUCUGUUAUUAGGGAAGAACAAAUGUGUAAGUAACUAUGCACGUCUUGACGGUACCUAAUCAGAAAGCCACGGCUAACUACGUG